Small nucleolar RNA from Pongo abelii (Sumatran orangutan), 101 nucleotides. Lineage: Eukaryota; Metazoa; Chordata; Mammalia; Primates; Hominidae. The record is from Ensembl.
AUCCCUCUAUAGUUUAUAAGUGUGAUGAUUGGGUUUCAUACUCGUGUGAGAUGUGCCUCCCUCAAACCCUCUCAUACCACCAGCACAUGACCCAUCCCAUG